GACCUGGCGCUUUAGGAUGAGCCUACGUCGGAUUAGCUAGUUGGURGAGUAAAAGCCUACCAAGGCAACGAUCCGUAGCUGGUCUGAGAGGAUGAUCAGCCACACUGGGACUGAGACACGGCCCAGACUCCUACGGGAGGCAGCAGUGGGGAAUAUUGGACAAUGGGCGAAAGCCUGAUCCAGCAAUGCCGCGUGUGUGAAGAAGGCCUUCGGGUUGUAAAGCACUUUUAGUGAAGAGGAAAGGCUCACGGUUAAUACCCCUGAGAGUUGACGUUACUCACAGAAAAAGCACCGGCUAACUCUGUGCCAGCAGCCGCGGUAAUACAGAGGGUGCGAGCGUUAAUCGGAAUUACUGGGCGUAAAGCGCGCGUAGGCGGAUACUUAAGACAAAUGUGAAAUCGGGAACUGCAGUC
Molecule: ribosomal RNA, 413 nt
Filed under: uncultured bacterium
Lineage: Bacteria
Description: bacterial SSU rRNA
Rfam family: Bacterial small subunit ribosomal RNA
Source: RNAcentral